CCUACGGGGGGCAGCAGUGGGGAAUAUUGGACAAUGGGGGCAACCCUGAUCCAGCCAUGCCGCGUGUGUGAAGAAGGCCCUCGGGUUGUAAAGCACUUUCAGUGAGGAAGAACGCCUGUGGGUAAAAACCAACAGGGAAGGCCAUAACUAACAGAAGAAGCACGGCCUAACUCCGUGCCAGCAGCCGCGGUAAUACGGAGGGUGCGAGCGUUAAUCGGAAUUACUGGGCGUAAAGCGCGCGUAGGUGGCUUGAUAAGCCGGUUGUGAAAGCCCCGGGCUCAACCUGGGAACGGCAUCCGGAACUGUCAAGCUAGAGUGCAGGAGAGGAAGGUAGAAUUCCCGGUGUAGCGGUGAAAUGCGUAGAGAUCGGGAGGAAUACCAGUGGCGAAGGCGGCCUUCUGGACUGACACUGACACUGAGGUGCGAAAGCGUGGGUAGCAAACAGGAUUAGAUACCCUAGUAGUC
RNAcentral lists this ribosomal RNA (465 nucleotides) under Vreelandella stevensii. RNAcentral describes it as "partial 16S ribosomal RNA". It matches the Rfam family "Bacterial small subunit ribosomal RNA", at positions 338 to 795 of the family's 1533-position model. The record is from RNAcentral. Lineage: Bacteria; Pseudomonadati; Pseudomonadota; Gammaproteobacteria; Oceanospirillales; Halomonadaceae.